This is a long non-coding RNA of Acanthochromis polyacanthus (spiny chromis), 478 nucleotides long. RefSeq lists it as uncharacterized. The transcript is spliced from 3 exons. NCBI's taxonomy places the organism in Eukaryota, Metazoa, Chordata, Actinopteri, Pomacentridae. The record is from RefSeq and is a predicted model, not a curated record.
UCCCUGUCCUUCCUGCUUCUUCCGUCUCCAUAGAGCUGCAGGACUUCAUACUGCAAUGAAAAAUGAGCCCACAGUGAGGAAAAAUGUGACAAGAGCAAAAACAAACUGCUCGUGGUUCAGAGGGUUCUAAAGCACACAAUAGAUGAAAUGGUUGUGGAAGAAUCUAGAGCAUGUAAGAUAACCGAACUUUAUUUUACUGAGGUGCAAAGUGGAAACUAAGAGUUCUGUUUGUUUUCUUUUAGGAGACCAGCUGGAGAACUGCCCCAAGGAAGAGCAUGAAAUUUCUCUUUUGGAUUGGUGGUUCUAAAGAAGAGCUCCUAAGACGCCCAGGGCGAAUUCGUGCAUCAUAGCAGCUCAGUUCAUGUCGGGAGAUCUGACCGAAAUCUCAGGGAGCCGGACAAGGUUUCUGCAGAUUGAGGCUCCAUCUACAGUCUUGAUGAGCAAAUAUGAAAGAAACAAGUAAGUAUUUGAAAAUAAA